AGCAAAAACUGAGAUUCAGUAAAGGUGAGAAAAACAAUACUUUAAUGUACUUGAGCCUUAAUUUUGACUUGUAGUGUUCUUGCAAAGGAGCAGUUUUUCUAUUGCCUUCCUGAUACCCUUGAUAUCCCUAAACUCUACAAGACGUCCUUUCCUCUAUGGAGCAGCAUAAGAUUUUAAUGUAAUUCAGAAGCAGUGACACCAUUCAUCCAGCCCUGUUCAAUAUUCCAGAUUAUUCUUUCCUUCUUACUCUUCUAGGAUGCUUACAUAAGAAGAGUAAAUUCCUCAAUGAAUUGUGUUUAGAGCAAAGCAAGGCUGGGCAAAGCAUAGCCAACUACUUGCACAGAAUCAGAGACCAAGCAAUUUCUCCAGUUUUUACUUCCUGGAAACCAAAAGCAGCUCUGUGUUCUUGCCCUAGGGAUCACCCUCAGUGCCUUCCAGAAUGUCACACUACCAGUUUUUCCAAGUCGGCACUCCCUAGUUGGACCAAGAGACUUUUUCACUUCAAAAGGAAGUGCUACUUUCUUUUCACGUUUGAUCGUGUCUUUAAUCAUUUUCCCCAGAAUCGUAGUUUUAAGCAGAUAUAUAUUUAAAGCAGCAAGGCUUAAUAUGUACAAAUAUCUAUGUUUCCUUUUCCAUUAUUUUGCUGCAAGUUUUACAGCUCAAGGUAUGAGAAUCUUUUAAUCAUGUUACUAUAUCAAGUUCAGUAUACACAGAUAAAAGCUUAUCCCACAGACAUAAAGUAGGAAUGGGUGAAAACUAAGUUGAGAUAUUGGCCUGAAUUAAAAAGAGACGCAGGACACUCAAUUACUAGUUUUUCUUUUCUUUUCUUUUUAUUUUUUGGUUUUUGGGGCAUUAACAGGGAUCGAACUCAGGACCUUUCAUUUGCCAGGCAGAUGAGGCACCACUGAACUAAAUCCCUCGCGCAACUAGUUUUUAACUCUUAGUUUUAAGCAACUUUAUUUACCUGGGAAAGCAUCAAAUAUUUUGUUUCAUUAAAAAAAAAAAGGACCACUGCUUCAAAAUAUCUCUUCUUUUUCUUCCAAUGAUUAAAACAAUAAAAAACUAAUUAAACUGACACAAAAUCUCGCCAAAGACUUUUCUUCAGCUAGUUGCCAUUACCUAGAAUAUGGUUUUGAUUUGACUUAAGAUGUAACUAAACAAACAUUACAGGAGUGCACAGGAAAGUAAGUUAGUGGACAUAAAGGGAAGAAAGACAGCAGAGAGCCUGACGGCCUCCUAGUAGCUCAAAUGGCAACCUGAAAAAUGGUCGAGAAAAGUAAUUCAAGUGAUGUUCAGAAACUGGCUAAAUAUGGACUCUUGAGUUGGACCCAGACUCUGUCCAGAUUACCUUCUCUGUAGUGAAAUUUUGUAAGUUAGAGUUUCUCAAGGGCGUACAGUGCAUUCUACAUGAUACAUGGGAGCUUUUACAACAAAGUCCAAAGUAUAUAAGACAAAACAAAAAAGAGUAGAGCUAAUAAAAAACUAGAAAGAAAAAGAUGAAAACCUAAGGAAAGUAGAAAGGGGUAGGAACUUGAACAUUUUGUUUAAGAAGGAACUGUUGCUCUCUCUUGAAACUUUCACAUGGAAUAGAACACAUAGUAAUGAGAGAAGACUGUUAAACUAAAGAAACGAAAGAGAUCAUGUCUGAGUUCUAAGUGAUGGGUGUUGUCAAGAGAUAAGGGAAAGGAAAUCCCCUCGGGGGAGACAGAGGCUAAGGAUCAAUGGGUAGAAGUUGGUGGACUCACAAAUAGUAUUUAAAAUUAACUACUGACCUCUAGGUAACAUUCAGCUAUUCAGUUGCAAAGGAAAACUAUACUUUGAGGCUGC
This is a long non-coding RNA of Fukomys damarensis (Damara mole-rat), 1827 nucleotides long. The record is from Ensembl. NCBI's taxonomy places the organism in Eukaryota, Metazoa, Chordata, Mammalia, Rodentia, Bathyergidae.